RNAcentral lists this long non-coding RNA (6535 nucleotides) under Olea europaea subsp. europaea. Lineage: Eukaryota; Viridiplantae; Streptophyta; Magnoliopsida; Lamiales; Oleaceae. The record is from RNAcentral.
AAACUAAUUACAACAAUAGUCCCAAAUAAAUUUAGCACAAAUAUAUAAUUAAAACUCAAAACUAAAAUAAUAAUAAUAAUAAUAAUAAUAAAUCAUUCAUUUUCUUCUUCCUCUUGUCCAAUUCUAGGUGAUCCUUGGAAUUUAGUAAUUUUAGUGAUUGGUACUCUCAUCUUCUGCAGAAUGUUCUUGGAAAUAUUAUCACUGCCAAUUCAAAAAAUGUUGAGUAUAUGCUCAAAACAAGGUUGGAUAAUUAUCCAAAAGGCAAGACAUUUUCUGCCAUUUUGGGUGAUCUCCUUGGGAGAGGGAUUUUCAACGUCAAUGGUCAUUUAUAGAAGUUUCAGAGGGAAAUGGCUUGUCUAGAACUAGGCAAUCUUUCUGCAAAAUCAUAUGCAUUUGAGAUUGUAGUCCCUGAAAUUCAUUCCAGGCUUAUUCCUCUAUUGUCAUCUGUUGCCGGUAAAGAAAAUGGUGUUCUUCAUUUACAAGAAGUGUUUCAAAGAUUUUCAUUCGAUAGUAUUUGCAAUUUUUCAUUCGGUCAAGACCUCGGCUGCGUAAAGUUGUUACUAUCUGUUUCAGGAUUCGCUGUGGCCUUUGAUCUUGCAUCAAAAUUGUCACUGCCCUAGAGGAAGAAGAUGAAUAAUUUUUGGUUUUUCAGUUUGGAUUUUUAAUUAUAUGUUUGUGAUUAAUUUGUAUUUUUCUUGAAAAUUUGGGAUAAUUAGUUCUUUAUCUUUUCUUUUUGUUUUAUUUUAAUAGCAGGGUAAAAUCGUUUUUAUUGAAAAAAAUGGAUGAAAAUGAUCUUUUGCGCAAUGAAAUGUAAAAAUAAAAAUGAAAAUGUUAAAAAAUAAAAAAUAAGGACAUUUUGCACAAUUACAUCUGAAGGUGGUAGAGAUAUUUUGUGUUAUUUACCAACUAAAAUAUUCUAAUUCUCGAUAUUGAAAAUCAAAAUCAAUUAAUUCGGUCAGGCUCUUGUCCGGUUCCGGUGGUUCGAGUAAAUUGUCAAAGCCACUUAACCGUAGCAACUCCAGUUUCUCGUAACCCCAUCCUCUCUCUCGCACAAUGUACCUAAAGAAGGCGUUCUGGAGCGGCAGUUUGAACUCGGAAUCGAAGUCCGAGUCGCACUCACCUGUGUGAGACCAGGUUAAAUAGCUCGACAAGCAAAGACUUUACAGGGAGGUAACCCUCGCUCUCCGGGUUCUCAUUCCUCCGGGUCACAGGUUUGGGCAACAUUCUCGAGUUUCUCAGAUCCGUCGCCGAGUCAGACUCCACCAUCAGUGUCUUUUGCCACUACCAAUCCAUUCCCGAACUUCAAGGUAUCGUACAACACCCUCCAUUUUCCUUUAUUUAUUUAACUCGAAUUUGAUCUCGCAGAUUGAAUAUAAAAUGUUCAAUAUAUUUGAAUAUCUUUUACUGUGAAGUAUCGUUUCAUGCUUGCGCCUUAGAGAAUUCGAUUCACGUUUUUAAUACUUUUCAAACAAAUAGUGUGAUUACCACAUUGUUGAUGCUUUGGAGCUCAAUGCUAUGAUUAUAACUGACCUUUAAUAUGAGCUAAACAAGUUAUUGAUGGACAAAAAAAAAAGAAAAAAGAGAGAAAUUGUUGGCCUCGAUUUUUGUACCUCUGACGUGACCAACAAAUUGCGGAUCCACUCACGUCCACGUAAGCUCACUUCCUACGCACUCAGACAAACUGUUAGUCACCCCUGACCUUCUCCGAUGGUGAGGGAGAUGGCCAUGAUCAAGUCAGUCAAUAGGAAGAGAUAUAGUGGGUGUGGGACGAGCUUAAAGCGCAAGCCACGAAAGUGUUAAAAGCAUCAUGAAUAUCUACGGAUAUAAGGAUGAGAGCAAUCUUACCAAUUGAGAUUUGCAUUACCCUUUAGUUGGUGUUGGUCAUGGGCUUUUAUAGUUGCAUGGCUGAAGUGGUGGCCAUUAGAUAAAGAAGCACGUGGCUUCAUCAUAACUGUUGAGGCGUCCUAUUAUAGGUUUUCAUGUCAUACAUCAUAAGACCUGCAGCAUUUAAUGUUAUCUGAUAAAGUAGCCACCAUAUUGCUUAGGUCUGCGUACCUAUAUAGUAGGCUAACAAGACUUGAUAUUCUUAUACCGCAAGAGUUCACAUCAAUUAUUAUUAGAUCUUUACGCAGAAGAUCUCUUGGGAGAGACGACUAUGAAAGAUGAGGCUUCCACCUCAUAGCGUGGGCUUUGGCUGAAGUGGUGAAUAGCUUCUUUAUGAGUGGCUUGUAGUAGGAAGUACCUCACUUCAGUCACUGUGCUUCGAUUGAGGUGCCUUGGCUUCGUCAUCUUUGAUGGCAUGGAUUGUGGGUCUUUAGUUGGGCUUCUGGAUGGCUGCCACGUGGACCUUUUCUUGAGCCUCGGUGGCGAGAUGUAACAGAAAUAGCUAGGUGGAGUUAGGUUUCUCGGGUUUUUUCAUUUUUGUCUGGAAGAAACAAGUUAUAAGAGGAAGAAUAUAAACUAUAAAGGUUGUUUAUGGAUCUUAGAAACCAGGAAGGGAAUGAUAGAUAACAACGGGAAAUUUAUCUUCAUAGUUUACUUAACAUAGACAAUAAGGGAGAAGUAAAGGUAUAUUUUUGGUGAAAUAGAGAAGAAGAAGAAUACUCAGUCCUUUCAUUUUGCAUGAUUUUCUUUCUUUUUUUCUGUCGAUUCUAACGAGAACCGAACCGACCCGAAAUUUUCGGGUAUUUAGUAAGUGGAACCGUCGGGUCCAAAUUUAAUUAUGGAACCGUUCGGAUUCGGUCCGUUUCGGUUCCGUAUUGUAAUUAAAUUUUUUAAUGUAUAUAAAGUUACAUUAAUUUAAUUAAUGAUAUGUUCAAUAUUAACUCUUACAAAAUAACGUAGUCCAAUCUUAUGUGUCUUUUACGUCUCUCUUUACUGAAUUCUUCAUAAAUUUGAUUAUAAAAAUCACAUGAAGAGAAAGAUAGCGAGCUCAAAAUAAUUAAGAGAGAUGUUGUAGAAUUUUAAUUUGAUUUUCUCCAGUAGAAACGACACUACAGUAGAGUAACAUAUUUGAAUAAAAUUGAGGUCAAUUUGAUUAAGUUGAUUUUGAAUUGAAAAUUAGAAAUAGAAAAAUAAUAUUUUGUGGUUUGAACUAAAUUAACCAGUUAACAAAUUUAUUUAAAAAAAAUAAAAUAAUUUUGCUUAUUUAAAAUAAAUAAAUUUAAAAAAAUUAAGGAAAUUCGGUUCUUCGGGUCUUGGCCUAGAACCAGAACCGAACUGUACCCGUCGGUUCUUGAUUCAAAUAUCCGUUUGGGUAUUUAAUUUGAGAAUAACCGUUGGGUUCGGUUCGGUUCGGGUUCGGGUUCGGGUUCGGUUCGGGAGUUUUGUCGAGCCCUAGUUGGAAAAAUAGAACAAUUGUCAUCAGAAUGAUUUUCUUUGUAAUAAAGAAUUGAAAGUUUUUACCUUUCUAGAUUAGAUAAUCAGAUUGAAAUUGAGCCAAGCCUGUUCAUUGACCUUUCUCCUGGUAGGGAUAUAUAUUUUUUAAUUUUUGCCUCACCCUUGUUUUCAGGAUUUCCGUCUUUGCAAGCCCUUGUGCAUCAAAAAGUAAGUUGCUUUAAUCUAAUUCAAAAAUCAUUAAGCACCUUUUGUUUCAAAUUAUGCCUUUGAGGUUUCUAAAGUAUUACAAGUAACCACUCAAAAAUCACUCUCUCUUUGUGCAUUUUGGGAUUUGAAUGGUUUGUGAUGAUUGCUUUUGAUGUCACAGUGGUUCCAGUUCUCUUUCGACACUCUCUGAAAGAAAUAGAUGAGCAGAGGGUAACGUAUCUGGACCAUAUAUUUUCUGUCAACGCUGUGAAGAUUAGUCCUUCAAUUGAUGCUGAAGUGGUUCUUGCUCUACUAGUUCUGGAAGUCUUCUUCACCGAGAGAGUACAAUCCUGGCUCAUCGACACAAGCAAUUCAUGUAUGGAUAUAGUCCUUGUUUUCAAACUUGCCUGCCUAAUGAUCUUUAUUAUAUUAUUACUUGUUAUGCAGAACCUAUAGUCUCCCGACCAGCUCUUCUUGUCUGGGUGGAAUUAUGUAGUAAAUUCCACUUUCAAGAUCAAGAGUUCGAGUUGGUAUGAACCCACAUUCAAAAAAAGAACCUAUAAUCUCCUGUACAAAUUUCGGCAAUAUAAGUUACAAAAUACUGGGAUGAUUGUGGAAAAAUUUCCACAGCCGAUCCAUUGAAAAAAAAAAAAAACUUUAUAUUUACCCAAAUCAGAGGCUUUAAUCUUCAAAUUUUUUAUUCUUUAAAGUAUUCGCAGCUAUCAAGUUCAUGAUCCAUUAUUUUGGUGACUAGUACGAAAAUUCAACAUUCUGGUUUCUAAUUGUAAUGCCAAAUUUAUUAUCGUGUGACAUCAAAAAGGUAUUGAUGAAUACUUUAUCAACCCGUGGAGUACUUGAGCAAGAUGCAUGCCUAGAUGCUUUAUCUCAAUUAUGCUGGGAUCAUCUGCCAAUCAAAUGUUAGUUUUGCAGCUGCUAGUUGUUGAGAAAAUCAAGUUCAUUUUUAUAUGAAAAAAUAUACGGGUAGUAGAUGUUGAGUUGCUGCCUUUAAUAAAUUGUGUGUGUGUAUUGUUCAUGCCAAUUAAAUGCAUGCCUGCUCAGCAAAAAGCUAGCGUAGGUUUUUUGGAUUUCCGCUGCUUAUUAUUGUAACAAAAAUCUCUAUAUUGUUAGAACGUGAAUUGCAGAUAUUUGUUCAUGCUUUGUUACAUACUUUCUGAAGAAUUCUGAUUAAGCUUCUGAUCUUAUUUGAUUUUCGUUUAUUAAUGAUGUUUCAGGAUUUUGAGGCAUGCAAUGUGGAGCUAGCAUACGAAAUUUUCGAUUGAAGGAUUAAAUCAUAGCCGGACUUGAGGAGAGGCCCAAGAGGCCAUCGCCUCAGGCCCACAUCUUUAGAGGGCCCAAAAAAAUGAUUUAUUUUUUUGGAUUUUUCAUUUUUUUUAUCCUUAAAUCCCACUAAUAACAUUCAAAACGUCCAAUAAUUGUCCCACUAAAUAAAAACCUAAGCCUCCUCCUAAAUUCUUAACUUCUCUAAAAUCCAACCCGUUUAUACUAAUUCACUCUUGCUCCAUAUAAAAUAAGGCUUCUUCAACAAUUAUAUCAUGAAUCCCGGUAACAAUACUGUUUACAUUUGAAGUUAAAUUGCUUGAAUUUUUUUUUUUAUUGAUUUGCCCGUUCUAUUUUAUUUAUAUUUGUUUUAUAUAUGAUUUGCAACAAAAAUUAAUUGUUUUAUGUAUAUCUAGAUUUUAUUAGUUUCUAAUUACUUUUAUAAACGCCAUAGUUUUUAAAUUAACCGGUUUUUAUAAAAUAAAGCCUUUUCAUGGAUUUUUAUUGAUUUUGCAUUUGUGUGCCUGCAUUAUUUAUUUUUUCUUUUUCUUUUUAUCUCACAUUCGGAAAACUUUAUAGUUUAUGAUCAUGUAAGAAACAAAAAGCCACUGAGGUUUGAGAGUUUGGAAAAUUAUAUAUUUUUUUGUUGUUCAUACAAGUAUUUUCAAUAAUAAGUUUGUUGUGGGAUUAUUUACUUUGCUUCAUUGGAAUUUUUGCAUUGCUCUAUUAUUUGGUCUCUAUUUUGGUGCCAAGUGUGAAUGUGGUGGUUUUGGUGGUGCUGCAAGUUUUGGAUUAGAAAUACUCAUUUCAUUGUGUACCAGUUUAAGUGUACUCUAUACCCCUUUCUUUGGAUCAAAAUUUUCACCUACUUUCUGAACAUGCUGCACACAUUUUGGUUGCUAUUUUUCUUUGAUAUUGAUGCAAUAUUAGAUUGACUUUUCAAUGUAAGAUAUGCAAACAUCUCCACAAAACUCGUAUAGUUUCAACCCAAUCACAUAAAAUAGGAGGCAUGGGUUCAAGAAAUUUUAUUAUGGUUUUCUUUGAGUGUUUUCUAUAACUCAAUGAUGGUAUAUAUGGAUUCAAUUGCCUUUGACUUACGACUUAUGAGGGCUUCAUGAAUAUUGACUAUCAACUGAUUAAUUAAUUAUUAUGUAUUAAUUUAUGUUGUCAUUCUUAUGAAUUUGCCUUAUGGUUGGAUAAUUUGACUAUUCAAAAUUGAUUUUUUUUUGUCUCUAAAAUCGCAAAAUGAGUUGUAUUAAAGUUAUCGUUUAAAACGUUAUAAUAUAAAUAUCUUGUAUAUUUAUUUUAUUUUAUUUGUUGUUUUAUUGUUGAUUUUAACUUAACAAAUUUAAUUCCAUAAAACUCUUAUAAAUGAAAAAAAAAAAAAAAAAAAAAGACUGCUUGCUAUGAUUUAGGAGCCCAAAUUCUGAAAUUCGCCUCAGGCCUCACGAAACACAUACGGCCCUGGAUUAAACUAUUGAGGAAGUUGCUCUUCUUAUGAGAGACAAACACAGAGAGGAAAGUAUGAGGUAUCUCUGGUUUGCAACUAAUAUCAUCACUGGAAGGUCUUAACUCUUACAAACGUAGAAGUAAGAAUCAAUUUAUAUUUUCUCGAUGGUAAAAACUAAAUAGUCAUUGUCCAAAUCUGAGUGUGUUUCUAUUUCUGUAUUUUUUAAGAGAAUACAUUUCUUGUUCCAUAUGUAUUUGGAAAUUUUGCCAACUGGCUGAUAGU